This is a non-coding RNA of Lipotes vexillifer (Yangtze River dolphin), 1208 nucleotides long. The record is from RefSeq and is a predicted model, not a curated record. Lineage: Eukaryota; Metazoa; Chordata; Mammalia; Artiodactyla; Lipotidae.
AUGAAGACUUUUGAAGCUUUUAUGGGCAUCGAACUCAACUGCUCUUGGAAAAGGUCAAAGAGAAGGCAUGGAAUCAGGAGCCGGAAGAGAAAGGCCACCCAAGAGCUGCCAAGCCAAGAAGAGGGGUUUGAGAGAAGAGCUAUCUCAAGUACCCAGUGUGUAACCAAGCCGCCAACAAAACUUCUAUGGCUAAACAUCUUAAGACUGAGAUACCAAGGAAAGAACGGACACCUCCCAGACUACGUUGGAGGCGGGGCUACGUCUGGGGCGGGGGCCAAGUUGGAGGCGGGGCUACGUCUGGGGCGGGGGCUAGGUUGGAGGCGGGGCUACGUCUGGGGCGGGGCUACGGACGCCGUACGAGCGCCGGGGCGCUCGGCCUGGGCAGAGUGCGUAGGCCUGUGGCGCUCGGUGGGCUCGAGGGCCGGGGGGCCGUCCCAAGCCGGCCCGCCCCCGCUCCGCUCCCCGCCCACAGCCGCACUUCCGCGGUCGCCUGCGUUCCGGAGCCCAGACGCAGCGUCUGAGUCGCCCGGCACCUUCUGUCAGUGGCGUGAGCGUCUUGCCGUGGCGUGUCGUCUGCGCCGCUCGGCCAGUUGUACGCCCGUGCGCUCGCCCGGCCGACCGGGCUGCGGAGCUCCCUCUCGCGUCCCCCGGCUGGUCCGGGGCGUCCGGGCACCGCCUCGACGGCGGCUCCGCCGGACGCGCGGACUGGACCGCAGACCGCACCCCGAGCGGACGGCGUCAUGAGGCACCUGCCGUACUUCUGCCGCGGCCAGGUGGUGCGGGGCUUCGGUCGCGGCUCCAAGCAGCUGGGCAUCCCUACAGCUAACUUUCCUGAACAAGUAGUAGAUAAUCUUCCAGCUGAUGUAUCCACUGGCAUAUAUUAUGGUUGGGCCAGUGUUGGAAGUGGAGACGUCCAUAAGAUGGUGGUGAGCAUAGGAUGGAACCCAUACUACAAGAAUACAAAAAAGUCCAUGGAAACUCAUAUCAUGCAUACUUUCAAAGAGGACUUCUAUGGGGAAAUUCUCAACGUGGCCAUUGUCGGCUACCUCAGACCAGAAAAGAACUUUGAUUCUUUAGAGUCACUUAUUUCAGCAAUUCAAGGUGAUAUUGAGGAAGCUAAGAAACGACUAGAUUUACCAGAACAUUUGAAACUCAAAGAAGACAAUUUCUUCCAGGUUCCUAAAAGCAAAAUAAUGAAUGGCCACUGA